CAGUCGCCGCGGUAAUACGAGGGGGGCAAGCGUUGUUCGGAAUUAUUGGGCGUAAAGGGCUCGCAGGCGGUUUCUUAAGUCUGAUGUGAAAGCCCCCGGCUCAACCGGGGAGGGUCAUUGGAAACUGGGAAACUUGAGUGCAGAAGAGGAGAGUGGUAUUCCACGUGUAGCGGUGAAAUGCGUAGAGAUGUGGAGGAACACCAGUGGCGAAGGCGACUCUCUGGUCUGUAACUGACGCUGAGUAGCGAAAGCGUGGGGAGCGAACAGGAUUAGAUACCCCAGUAGUCCCUGUCUCUUAUAA
Molecule: ribosomal RNA, 301 nt
Filed under: uncultured bacterium
Lineage: Bacteria
Description: partial 16S ribosomal RNA
Rfam family: Bacterial small subunit ribosomal RNA
Source: RNAcentral